This is a long non-coding RNA of Agrilus planipennis (emerald ash borer), 689 nucleotides long. RefSeq lists it as uncharacterized. The transcript has 3 exons. The record is from RefSeq and is a predicted model, not a curated record. NCBI's taxonomy places the organism in Eukaryota, Metazoa, Arthropoda, Insecta, Coleoptera, Buprestidae.
CUAUCAAUAAUAAUGUGAAAGCAAUUGUAUUGUCUUUACUUUAAUUAAAGUCGAAUGAUAAUUGUUUUUGUUACAAUUCUGUUAUACAGGAAAAGUGAUUUAAUAUUGUGCUCAUAUUUAUGCUAGUAGUUUUAGAUCUGUAAACAUUAGUUAUCCUCCAAGAUCCAAGCAUAGUUUUACAAUAACAAACAAAUGCAUCAUUAUUUUAAUAGAUUAUUGUGUAAAUUUUAUUCAAAAAUUGCUUUGGUUGGUUCAGCUAAUAUCAAUGAGUAACAAUAAAAAUAGCAGACAAAAGUCGCAACUCCGUAAACGCCUUCGUCAAAGUGGUGAAAUUACUUCAGGAUCAGCCAAGGAUAAACCAAUACAAUUUCUGUUGGUGAAUAACAGAAAUACAACAAAGCAAGUAAUUGUACGCAUAGUGUUUGGUAAAUAUACAGCAGCUGGUAUCACACAUAAGGAAGCUUUAGUUGAUGGGCAGUGUUUGAGAGUUCAUGUAAAACCCAUAGAGGAAAAGAUAAUAAAGAAGCUACUGCAGAAAAAACCACCGGUCCAGUUGAAACAAUCACAUUUGAAGAGAGGUAGGAAACAACUUGGGUUGUCUGAGAGAUUAAAAUCUAGGAUACAAUCGAAAUCAUUACAAAGAAAAAGAAAAAACGGUCAAAGAGUGUCACUUAGGAACACAAGAAAUU